Molecule: ribosomal RNA, 464 nt
Filed under: Vreelandella stevensii
Lineage: Bacteria; Pseudomonadati; Pseudomonadota; Gammaproteobacteria; Oceanospirillales; Halomonadaceae
Description: partial 16S ribosomal RNA
Rfam family: Bacterial small subunit ribosomal RNA
Source: RNAcentral
UCUACGGGAGGCAGCAGUGGGGAAUAUUGGACAAUGGGCGAAAGCCUGAUCCAGCCAUGCCGCGUGUGUGAAGAAGGCCUUCGGGUUGUAAAGCACUUUCAGUGGGGAAGAAAGCCUUGGGGCUAAUACCCUCGAGGAAGGACAUCACCCACAGAAGAAGCACCGGCUAACUCCGUGCCAGCAGCCGCGGUAAUACGGAGGGUGCGAGCGUUAAUCGGAAUUACUGGGCGUAAAGCGCGCGUAGGCGGUCUGAUAAGCCGGUUGUGAAAGCCCCGGGCUCAACCUGGGAACGGCAUCCGGAACUGUCAGGCUAGAGUGCAGGAGAGGAAGGUAGAAUUCCCGGUGUAGCGGUGAAAUGCGUAGAGAUCGGGAGGAAUACCAGUGGCGAAGGCGGCCUUCUGGACUGACACUGACGCUGAGGUGCGAAAGCGUGGGUAGCAAACAGGAUUAGAUACCCCUGAGUC